UAGAAGCUAUCAUAUCAAUUACAGCACUAGUAACUCCUUAGAAAAACCAAUUUCAGUGUAUUUUUAUCUUAACCUGGAAAUAUUUCCUUCUUAUUUAUAUAGCUCUCAUUGUUGAGUUGGUUAACUAAUAAGAUUAUGGUGGAAUUUUAUUAAACUUGGUUUCGUUUCAUAUUCUUUACCAUCUUAGUCUUACCUUUCUUAUUUACUGAUAGUCUUUUUUGUGUUUCUAAAUUUCGUUUAGCAAUCUAUCUUCAGGUCGAUGAGUCUACCUCGAGUGAUGAGAGUCCAGGGCUAGACCUGCCUGAUGGCCUGUUGCAUUUUAGAAAUAAUCUUCUUGAGCUCUUGGUAGAUAUUUGUCAGCUACUUCAUCCUACAACAUUUGUGAGUAAGGUGUCCCCUCACUUCA
RNAcentral lists this long non-coding RNA (406 nucleotides) under Brassica napus (rape). RNAcentral's name for it is "long non-coding RNA (BNAP_LNC004886)". Lineage: Eukaryota; Viridiplantae; Streptophyta; Magnoliopsida; Brassicales; Brassicaceae. The record is from RNAcentral.